This 363-nucleotide ribosomal RNA is filed under the name uncultured soil bacterium. RNAcentral describes it as "bacterial SSU rRNA". It matches the Rfam family "Bacterial small subunit ribosomal RNA", at positions 26 to 383 of the family's 1533-position model. The record is from RNAcentral.
AGAUUGAACGCUGGCGGCAUGCUUUACACAUGCAAGUCGAACGGUAACAGGCCGCAAGGUGCUGACGAGUGGCGAACGGGUGAGUAAUGCAUCGGAACGUGCCCAGUCGUGGGGGAUAACGCAGCGAAAGCUGUGCUAAUACCGCAUACGAUCUAUGGAUGAAAGGCGGGGGACCGAAAGGCCUCGCGCGAUUGGAGCGGCCGAUGUCAGAUUAGCUAGUUGGUGGGGUAAAGCCCACCGAAGGCGACGAUCUGUAGCUGGUCUGAGAGGACGACCAGUCACACUGGAACUGAGACACGGUCCAGACCUCCGUACGGGAGGCAGCGAGUGGGGGAAUUUUGGAACUAAGUGGGCCGCGAAGCC